GACGAACGCUGGCGGCGUGCUUAACACAUGCAAGUCGAACGAAGAGCGAUGGAAGCUUGCUUCUAUCAAUCUUAGUGGCGCACGGGUGAGUAACGCGUAAUCAACCUGCCCUUCAGAGGGGGACAACAGUUGGAAACGACUGCUAAUACCGCAUACGAUCUGACCUCGGCAUCGAGGAUAGAUGAAAGGUGGCCUCUACAUGUAAGCUAUCACUAAAGGAGGGGAUUGCGUCUGAUUAGCUAGUUGGAGGGGUAACGGCCCACCAAGGCGAUGAUCAGUAGCCGGUCUGGGAGGAUGAACGGCCACAUUGGGACUGAGACACGGCCCAGACUCCUACGGGAGGCAGCAGUGGGGAAUCUUCCGCAAUGGACGAAAGUCUGACGGAGCAACGCCGCGUGAGUGAUGACGGCCUUCGGGUUGUAAAGCUCUGUUAAUCGGGACGAAAGGCCUUUUUGCGAAUAGUGAGAAGGAUUGACGGUACCGGAAUAGAAAGCCACGGCUAACUACGUG
RNAcentral lists this ribosomal RNA (510 nucleotides) under uncultured bacterium. Its description in RNAcentral is "partial 16S ribosomal RNA". It matches the Rfam family "Bacterial small subunit ribosomal RNA", at positions 28 to 507 of the family's 1533-position model. The record is from RNAcentral.